UACGUAGGGGUCGAGCGUUGUUCGGAAUUACUGGGCGUAAAGCGCGUGUAGGCGGCCCUGCAAGUCGGAUGUGAAAUCCCACGGCUCAACCGUGGAAGUGCAUUCGAAACUGCAGGGCUAGAGUCCUGGAGAGGAAGGUGGAAUGCUUGGUGUAGAGGUGAAAUUCGUAGAUAUCAAGCGGAACACCGGUGGCGAAGGCGGCCUUCUGGACAGUGACUGACGCUGAGACGCGAAAGCGUGGGGAGCAAACAGG
RNAcentral lists this ribosomal RNA (253 nucleotides) under uncultured bacterium. RNAcentral describes it as "partial 16S ribosomal RNA". It matches the Rfam family "Bacterial small subunit ribosomal RNA", at positions 524 to 776 of the family's 1533-position model. The record is from RNAcentral.